Transfer RNA from Aspergillus fumigatus Af293, 131 nucleotides. It matches the Rfam family "tRNA". Rfam says of the family: Transfer RNA (tRNA) molecules are approximately 80 nucleotides in length. Their secondary structure includes four short double-helical elements and three loops (D, anti-codon, and T loops). The record is from Rfam. Lineage: Eukaryota; Fungi; Ascomycota; Eurotiomycetes; Eurotiales; Aspergillaceae.
GGUAAGAUGGCCGAGUGGUUAAGGCGAGUGACUUAAGUGCUGCGUGCUGUACCACAGCUUUUACAUAAGCUGUACAGGCCGCUCAAAUUCACUUGACGAAAGUCGCGUGGGUUCGAACCCCACUCUUACCA